AAGUCGUAACAAGGUUUCCGUAGGUGAACCUGCGGAAGGAUCAUUACCGAGUUGAUUCGAGCUCCGGCUCGACUCUCCCACCCCAUGUGUACCUACCUCUGUUGCUUUGGCGGGCCGCGGUCCUCCGCACCGACCCCCGUUCGGGGGCCGGCCAGCGCCCGCCAGAGGACCACAAAACUCCAGUCAGUAAACGUCGCAGUCUGAGAAACAAGUUAAUAAACUAAAACUUUCAACAACGGAUCUCUUGGUUCUG
RNAcentral lists this unclassified non-coding RNA (253 nucleotides) under air metagenome. RNAcentral describes it as "partial contains small subunit ribosomal RNA, internal transcribed spacer 1, and 5.8S ribosomal RNA". The stretch from base 1 to 46 matches the Rfam family "Eukaryotic small subunit ribosomal RNA", at positions 1786 to 1831 of the family's 1831-position model. The record is from RNAcentral.